Molecule: small RNA, 552 nt
Filed under: bovine gut metagenome
Source: RNAcentral
UUGAAGGGCAUAUCGGUGAAGUCCCUGGUGCUUGCUUGUUUCGCCCAGAUUCGGGUGGGUGCUGGGGGUUAAGGUUUUCGGGCGGCAUACAAUGGCAUGAAUGUUACGACCCGGCUACCGUGGAGACCUGUUUUCGUGCGGCCGCCGCACUUUGUGGACAAGGACGGCGUACGGGGCAGGAGAUGAACCUGCAUUGCGGUAAGAUUUUGCUGUGUGCAGUGUAGCCUGCCUUGCGUGAAUACGCGGGGAAAGAGGAGCUAUGCGCACUUACCUGUGGCCACAGGAAAAGACGAUAUUCUCUGGAAACCGUAUUUGCAAAAGAGGCUAAGAACCGGCGUAUUUCGGCGUGGAAAACACCUAGGCAGUCCCAAUCCGGGGAUAUGCAGGGGAUUACAGUGCGGACUCAGUGGCAAUCGGGUACUGUGCUCGGCGACGGCACAGCGCAGGCAUGAAAAGGGAACUGCCCGUUCCGGCGACGGCGGGUUGCCUGCGGGGAAAGCCAACCCGACCUUAAGCCGCAAGAUUUAUCCUGUAUAUUGCCACCAUUUAUAA